AGAGUUUGAUCAUGGCUCAGGAUGAACGCUGGCGGCGUGCUUAACACAUGCAAGUCGAACGAAGCGCAUAAGCGGAAUUCUUCGGGAGGAAGGUUAUGCGACUGAGUGGCGGACGGGUGAGUAACGCGUGGGCAACCUGCCUUACACAGGGGGAUAACAGUUAGAAAUGACUGCUAAUACCGCAUAAGACCACAGCUUCGCAUGAAGGAGUGGCAAAAACUGAGGUGGUGUAAGAUGGGCCCGCGUCUGAUUAGGUAGUUGGCAGGGUAACGGCCUACCAAGCCGACGAUCAGUAGCCGACCUGAGAGGGCGACCGGCCACAUUGGGACUGAGACACGGCCCAAACUCCUACGGGAGGCAGCAGUGGGGAAUAUUGCACAAUGGGGGAAACCCUGAUGCAGCGACGCCGCGUGAGUGAAGAAGUAUUUCGGUAUGUAAAGCUCUAUCAGCAGGGAAGAAAAUGACGGUACCUGACUAAGAAGCACCGGCUAAAUACGUGCCAGCAGCCGCGGUAAUACGUAUGGUGCAAGCGUUAUCCGGAUUUACUGGGUGUAAAGGGAGCGUAGACGGUCUGGCAAGUCUGAUGUGAAAAUCCGGGGCUCAACCCCGGAACUGCAUUGGAAACUGUUAGACUAGAGUGUCGGAGAGGUAAGUGGAAUUCCUAGUGUAGCGGUGAAAUGCGUAGAUAUUAGGAGGAACACCAGUGGCGAAGGCGGCUUACUGGACGAUGACUGACGUUGAGGCUCGAAAGCGUGGGGAGCAAACAGGAUUAGAUACCCUGGUAGUCCACGCCGUAAACG
Molecule: ribosomal RNA, 800 nt
Filed under: uncultured bacterium
Lineage: Bacteria
Description: bacterial SSU rRNA
Rfam family: Bacterial small subunit ribosomal RNA
Source: RNAcentral